AACAUGAUUACCAUACACUAGAACACAAAAAACAGUAUAUUAGCUAAUGAGUAAUUAUGAUUGCUUCUUCUGGCCUUAACUAUCUCUAAACAAAUUGAACACAAUCCAGAACUCUAGAUCCAUCUCUUAUCCUACUUUAAUCACAUCAAAAUAAAGAAAAUGAAUCAGAAAAUGAACUCGAAAUAGCCUCUUAAUUUAUAAACAAAAUCCAGCAAUUACAUGAACAAAAUGGAACCAUAGCCUCAAUGAAAAAUCACAAAGCAAUUCAAUCCGGACGAAAUCACGAACAAAACCUUGGAGACAAAUAAUCGACGGAGGACAAUCUGACCAGAAAUCGAAUCGGCACCGCAACGACAACCUCAAACCGUUUCUAACAUAUUGGCUCCAAAUCUGUUUGUGUUUUCAACAUAAGUGUGUGUGUUUUGUGAAGAAGAUAACAGGCAGUGAGGGGUCAUUCAUUUCUACUCAAUUGCGGCUAUCUGCCUGGUGUAUUUUCCAUUGGUUCAACAUUGGAAUCUGAAGGAGAAGGCGAUGGGGUUUUCUAAGUGAUGAAAGGGUUGUCUGUCUCAGGUUUUUGGUUAAAAAUCAGCCAUUUUCAUGGCUACUUGAAGAAUAUGAUGAACAUGGGGGUCCGAAUGUUUUUGAUUUUUUCUUUUUGUUCUCUCCGUCCGUCUUUUAUGUAAUUUUUUUCCUCCUCUUUUUUGUUUUGUAGAAAUGGUUAUAUAGAGUGUACGAGUAGGGUGUUAUGUGGGGAAGUUUAUUUGGGAAGAAGGUGUUAUGUAAGGUAAUAUUUUUGGGGGAAGGUUUUAUGUGGGGGAAUAUUUUGGGAGGAAGGUCUUAGGUGAGGAGAAAUGAUAUGGGGGGGGGGGGAAAUAUUUUGGGAAAGAAUCUUCCCAUUUUUCUAAGUGAUGAAAGGGUUGUCUGUCUCAGGUUUUUGGUUAAAAAUCAGCCAUUUUCAUGGCUACUUGAAGAAUAUGAUGAACAUGGGGGUCCGAAUGUUUUUGAUUUUUUCUUUUUGUUCUCUCCGUCCGUCUUUUAUGUAAUUUUUUUCC
RNAcentral lists this long non-coding RNA (1052 nucleotides) under Nicotiana benthamiana. RNAcentral's name for it is "long non-coding RNA (NBEN_LNC040451)". The record is from RNAcentral. Lineage: Eukaryota; Viridiplantae; Streptophyta; Magnoliopsida; Solanales; Solanaceae.